This 254-nucleotide ribosomal RNA is filed under the name uncultured bacterium. RNAcentral describes it as "partial 16S ribosomal RNA". It matches the Rfam family "Bacterial small subunit ribosomal RNA", at positions 524 to 776 of the family's 1533-position model. The record is from RNAcentral.
GACGAACCGUGCGAACGUUAUUCGGAAUCACUGGGCUUAAAGCGCGUGUAGGCGGGAGGGCACGUCCGUCGCUGAAAUCCCCCGGCUCAACCGGGGAACGGGCGCGGAUACGACCUUCCUGGAGGGGCGUAGGGGGACCUGGAACUUCCGGUGGAGCGGUGAAAUGCGUAGAUAUCGGGAGGAACACCAGUGGCGAAGGCGACUACCUGGCCUGUUCUUGACGCUGAGGCGCGAAAGCUAGGGGAGCAAACGGG